RNAcentral lists this ribosomal RNA (254 nucleotides) under uncultured bacterium. RNAcentral describes it as "partial 16S ribosomal RNA". It matches the Rfam family "Bacterial small subunit ribosomal RNA", at positions 524 to 776 of the family's 1533-position model. The record is from RNAcentral.
CACGUAGGGUGCGAGCGUUGUCCGGAAUUAUUGGGCGUAAAGAGCUCGUAGGCGGUGUGUCGCGUCGGCCGUGAAAACCUGCAGCUUAACUGUGGGCUUGCGGUCGAUACGGGCAUCACUGGAGUUCGGCAGGGGAGACUGGAAUUCCUGGUGUAGCGGUGAAAUGCGCAGAUAUCAGGAGGAACACCGGUGGCGAAGGCGGCUCACUGGCCCGAUACUGACGCUGAGACGCGAAAGCGUGGGGAGCAAACAGG